ACGCUCGACACCUACGGAGGCAGCAGUGGGGAAUAUUGCACAAUGGAGGAAACUCUGAUGCAGCGACGCCGCGUGAGGGAAGAAGGUCUUCGGAUUGUAAACCUCUGUUGUCAGGGACGAUGAUGACGGUACCUGACGAGGAAGCCACGGCUAACUACGUGCCAGCAGCCACGGUAAUCUGAGCGGGCUGGCAAGGC
This 197-nucleotide ribosomal RNA is filed under the name uncultured bacterium. RNAcentral describes it as "partial 16S ribosomal RNA". It matches the Rfam family "Bacterial small subunit ribosomal RNA", at positions 328 to 539 of the family's 1533-position model. The record is from RNAcentral.